AUACAUCACAAAGAAAACAUCACAUACCGCACUUGGAACUGUUCGUGGAACAUGCAUGUAGCAACUAGUUCAAAAUUCCAGCAUUACAAUGUCAAAAUGAAAACUCUAAAAUUAUAAGAACUACAGAAACUGUGUCGUCUAUCAGAUUUGAAAUUUUGAACUGGUUCCCUAAACUUCAUAUGAUCGGGAUCACACAAAGCACCCUGACUAGCUAAUUUCAGUAGCAGAAGGGAUACUUGCAAAUUGCAACACCACCCAACACCAGGUUCGACAGAAAUAGAAGGUUACUGAAACCAGCACAAAUCUGCCGAGCAGUUUUUCUACAGGAA
RNAcentral lists this long non-coding RNA (329 nucleotides) under Elaeis guineensis (African oil palm). RNAcentral describes it as "long non-coding RNA (EGUI_LNC029124)". Lineage: Eukaryota; Viridiplantae; Streptophyta; Magnoliopsida; Arecales; Arecaceae. The record is from RNAcentral.